GAUGGAGAACGUAGCGAAAUGCGAUAAGUAGUGUGAAUUGCAGAAUUCAGUGAAUCAUCGAAUCUUUGAACGCACAUUGCGCCCCUUGGUAUUCCAUGGGGCAUGCCUGUUCGAGCGUCAUUUGUACCUUCAAGCUUUGCUUGGUGUUGGGUGUUUGUCCCGAGGGACUCGCCUUAAAGUAAUUGGCAGCCAGUGUUUGGUUUUGAAGCGCAGCACAAGUCGCGAUUCAAGGCUACACGCCCGCUUCCACAAGCCUUUUUUCACUUUUGACCUCGGAUCAGGUAGGGAUACCCGCUGAACUUAAGCAUAUCAAUAAGCGGAGGA
This 324-nucleotide unclassified non-coding RNA is filed under the name soil metagenome. RNAcentral's name for it is "partial contains 5.8S ribosomal RNA, internal transcribed spacer 2, and large subunit ribosomal RNA". The stretch from base 1 to 120 matches the Rfam family "5.8S ribosomal RNA", at positions 35 to 154 of the family's 154-position model. The record is from RNAcentral.